GCACGCAGGCGGUCGGCCAAGUUCGGAGUGACAGUUUCCGGCUUAACUGGAAAAGGUCUUCGAAAACUGGUGGACUUGAGGACUUGAGGGGGAGACGGAAUUCCGGGUGGAGCGGUGAAAUGCGUAGAGAUCCGGAGGAACACCGAAGGCGAAGGCAGUCUCCUGGCAAGUUCCUGACGCUCAUGUGCGAAAGCUAGGGGAGCGAACAGGAUUAGAUACCCUGGUAGUCCUAGCCGUAAACGAUGACCACUAGGCGUGGGAGGUAUCGACCCCUUCCGUGCCGCAGCAUACGCAUUAAGUGGUCCGCCUGGGGAGUACGGUCGCAAGAUUAAAACUCAAAGGAAUUGACGGGGACCCGCACAAGCAGCGGAGCGUGUGGUUUAAUUCGAUGCAACGCGAAGAACCUUACCAGGACUUGACAUGCAACUGCACCACCCGUUAUGGGGUGUCCGAGCAAUCGGCGAUUGCACAGGUGCUGCAUGGCUGUCGUCAGCUCGUGUCGUGAGAUGUUGGGUUCAGUCCCGCAACGAGCGCAACCCCUGCCGCUAGUUGAAUGGUCUAGCGGGACCGCCGCGAUCAACGCGGAGGAAGGCGGGGAUGACGUCAAGUCAGCACGGCCCUUACGUCCUGGGCGACACACACGCUACAAUGGUCGGUACAACGGGCAGCCAACCCGCGAGGGGGAGCCAAUCCCAUCAAAGCCGGCCUCAGUUCAGAUUGCAGGCUGCAACCCGCCUGCAUGAAGGAGGAGUUGCUAGUAACCGUGGGUCAGCACACCACGGUGAAUACGUUCCCGGGUCUUGUACACACCGCCCGUCACACCACGAAAGUCGGCAACACCUGAAGCCGCUAAGCCAACCAUCUUGGGGGCAGGCGUC
This 878-nucleotide ribosomal RNA is filed under the name uncultured bacterium. RNAcentral describes it as "bacterial SSU rRNA". It matches the Rfam family "Bacterial small subunit ribosomal RNA", at positions 567 to 1457 of the family's 1533-position model. The record is from RNAcentral.